CCCAGGCCUUGUACACACCGCCCGUCACAUCAUGAAAGCCGCCUGUACCCGAAGUCGCCCCUCAAAAGGUGCCGAAGGUAUGGAUGGUGAUUGGGAUG
Molecule: ribosomal RNA, 98 nt
Filed under: uncultured bacterium
Lineage: Bacteria
Description: partial 16S ribosomal RNA
Rfam family: Bacterial small subunit ribosomal RNA
Source: RNAcentral